GAUGAACGCUAGCGGCAGGCUUAACACAUGCAAGUCGAGGGGUAAAUAUAGCAAUAUAUGAGACCGGCAAACGGGUGCGGAACACGUACUGAACCUACCUUUAUCUGGGGCAUAGCCCGGAGAAAUCCGGAUUAACUCCCCAUAGUAUCAUUGGAUGGCAUCAUUUGGUGAUUAAAAAAUUUAUUGGAUAAAGAUGGCAGUGCGUCCCAUUAGCUAGUUGGUAGGGUAACGGCCUACCAAGGCGACGAUGGGUAGCUGGUGUGAGAGCACGACCAGCCACACGGGCACUGAGACACGGGCCCGACUCCUACGGGAGGCAGCAGUGAGGAAUAUUGGUCAAUGGACGCAAGUCUGAACCAGCCAUGCCGCGUGAAGGAUGAAGGCCUUCUGGGUUGUAAACUUCUUUUAUGUGGGAAUAAAACCGGUAUUAUACUGGCUUGAAGGUACCAGAGGAAUAAGCACCGGCUAACUCCGUGCCAGCAGCCGCGUAAU
This 492-nucleotide ribosomal RNA is filed under the name uncultured bacterium. RNAcentral describes it as "bacterial SSU rRNA". It matches the Rfam family "Bacterial small subunit ribosomal RNA", at positions 28 to 524 of the family's 1533-position model. The record is from RNAcentral.